Molecule: long non-coding RNA, 5181 nt
Filed under: Homo sapiens (human)
Lineage: Eukaryota; Metazoa; Chordata; Mammalia; Primates; Hominidae
Description: HSALNT0361346
Source: RNAcentral
AUACCUGGAUAAUCCUACCACCAGGAAACACCUGAGUAUGUGCAGAGAAAGGUAUUUGCUAGUUCAAUUCAAUUUGAUUCAGUUUAACCAAUAUCAUUUAGCCUGCAUAUCUCUCUCUUUCAUAUCCAUAUAUUUUUGGUGAGUCUCUUGAAAAGCACAUAGCCGUAUGUGUUUUUUCAAAAAAAAAUUUUUUUUUCUUUUGAGACAGUCUCACUCUGUCACGUAGGCUGGAGUGCAGUGGCACGAUCUUGGUUCACUGCAACCUCCGGCUCCUGGGUUCAUGUGAUUCUCGUGCCUCAGCCUCCCAAGUAGCUGGGAUUACAGAUGUGUGCCACCACACCUGGUUAAUUUUUUUAUUUUUAGUAGAAACAGGGUUUCGCCAUGUUGGCCAGGCUGGUCUCCAACUCCUGAGCUUAAAGUAUCUACCCGCCUCGGCCGCCCAAGGUGCUAGAAUUACAGGCAUGAACCACCACACCUGGCCUGUUUUUUUCAUAAUCUAAUCUGAGAUUCUCUAUUAACCAAUAGAUUUAUACUAGUUAUAGUUCUUGUGAUUAAUAUAUUUGUAUUUAUUUCUACCAUGUAAUUUUAUAUUUUCUAUUUAUUUUGUUUUAUUCAUUGACUUUUUCUACCCCUCCUCCCACCUGACACUUUUGUUUGGAAAUUAUACAUUCUAUUUUUAACCUUUAGCAUGUCCUCUUAACUUUUGAACAUACUGACUUUAAAUUUAAAAUUAAACAAGCUCUCUAUUCUUUUCUUGAAUAAAUCUUAAAAUAAUAACCCUCCCUCUUAAUUAUAUUGCUUUCCAGGAUUUUUAUUUCACCUUGUGUUUGUAUUCUUAAAUUAUUCAUUAUGUUUGUUGAUUUCUACAGAGAGUGCUUAUUUAGAUUUACCCACGUUUACAAAUGUCUUUGUUGACUAUUCUUUCUUGUAUCCUACUUGUUUCUUUUGAGCUCAAUUUUUUUUAACUUUUAUUUUAGGUUCAGGGUACAUGUGCAGGUGCAUUACAUAAACUUGUCAUGAAGAUUUGUUGUACAGAUUAUUUCGUCACCCAGGUAUUAAGCCUAGUAGACAGCAUUGAUUUUUUCUGCUCCUCUCCCUCCUCCUACUUUCCACCCUCAAGUAGGCCUUGGUACCUGUUGUUCCCUUGUUUAUGGCCAUAUGUACUCAAUGUCUAGCUCCCACUUCUUAGUGAGAACAUGCAGUAUUUGGUUUUCUCUUCCUGUGUUAGUUUGCUAAGGAUAAGGACCUCCAGCCCCACGCAUGUUCCUGCAAAAGAGGUGAUCUCAUUCUUUUUUAUGGCUGCAUAGUAUUCCAUGGUGUAUAUGUACCACAUUUUUCUUUAUCCAAUAUGUCAUUGAUGAGCAUUUAGGUUGAUUCCAUGUCUUUGCUAUUGUGAAAAGUGCUGCAAUGAACAUUUGUGAGCAUGUGUUUGAGUUCAAUUUCAAUCUUCCUUAGGUACAUCCUCUAGUUGUUCUUUCAGCGAGGGUCUAUGAGAGGUAAACUUUCUCAAUUGUCUCCAAAUAGUCUUUACCAAGCCCUCAAUCUUGCAUGGUAUCUUAGCCAUCUGUGUUAUCUCUAGAUUGACAGUUAUUUUCUCUUAGUUCUUUUAAGAAAUUAUUCCAUUGGCUUCUUCUAUUAUUGCCAUUGAGAAUUGUCAUUCCUUUGUAAGUAAUCUUCUCUUUGAUGACUUUUAAGAUCUUCCCUUUGUCUUUACUGUUCUGCAGUUUCUCUUUGGUGUGUUUUUAUUUUUCCUGCUUGGAAUUCACGUAUUUUCUGAAUCCAAUGAUUGAUGACUUUCCUUAGUUCUAGAAAAUCCUUAGCCAUUCUUUCUUGGCAUAUUUUCUCUCCUUGGUUUUCCCCUUAAGGAUGGCCUAAUAAAUGUAUUUGGGACUUUCUCAUUCUGCAUUCUAUAUCCCAUAUCUCAAUGCUUCUUUCAUAAUUUUAAUCAAUUUAUUUCUCUGAACUAUACAUUGGGUAACUUCCUCAAACCUAUCUUCAAGUUAACUAAUUUUUCUUCAACUGUGCCCAAUUUGAUUUAAAUGUUAUAAUCAAUCAGGAUAAGCUAGGUUAUACUAGUUUAAUAGCAUAGUAAUAAUAAGCAACUCCAAAGUAUUAGUGGCUGAUAACAAGGAAGAUGUGAUUUGCUUAUGCUACAUGCUCAUUUACUUCCAAGUCUGCAGCAAGCUUGGUUCUCUGUUUCCUCACUCUGGACUCAGCCUAAUACUGGCCUUCUACUAUUCUGGAGCAAUGAUGGUUAUCAUGUUAGGAGGAAGAAACAGGGCAAACUGCAUUCUAGUUCUUAGAGGCCUAGGUUCAGAUGUGACAUGUCCUUCUACUCAUAUUUCAUUCACCAAAGCAAAUCCCAUGGCCUUGCCUUGUGACUUCAAGGGGAUGGGUAAAUGUGCCCAGAAGAAGGAGAUCUGGAAUAAUGAAGAAUAGCCUCAAAUAUAGUAACUACCACAUCUAAACUCUUGAGUUUUUGAUUUCUGUGACUUUAUUCCUCAUUUUGAGGAGUUCUAUUUUAUUCUUCUUUGAUAACUGUAUUCUUUUACUCUGUUUUUGAUCCAUUAUUUUAUGUCUCCAAUAAUUUUUGUUUAAGUUAGAGACGGUCUCACUCUGUCAUCCAGAAUGAAGUGCAGUGGCAUGAUCACAGCUCACUGAAGCCUUGACUUCCUGGGCUCAAGCGAUCCUCCCACCUUAGCCUCCUGAUAAGCUAGAACUACAGGUGCCCACCACCACAUCUGACUAAUUGCUUUUUAUUUUUAUUUUUUGUGGAGAUAGGGUCUCACUUUGUUGCCCAGGCUGGUCUCACUUUGUUGCCCAGGCUGGUCUCAACCUCCUGGCCUCAAGCGAUCCUUUCACCUUGGCCUCCCAAAGUGUUAGGAUUACAGACGUGAGCCACUGUACCCAGCUACCUGUAACAAUUUUAAGCUUAUCUUAAAAAAAUUGUCAGAUCAUUUUAUUUUCCGAGGUUCUUAGGAUAUAAUCCUAUUGUUUUGUGUAACUGAUGACUUUUGUUCAUGAUGAAUUGUUUUCUUGUGUAUUUUAUAAUUUUAAGUUGUGAAGUCAUCUUCAGUGAGGCUUUAUUAGAGGAAUCCUGUGUGUCCAGAUGCAGGGUCUGUCUCUCCAGAGUACUUUUCUGCUUAUUUCUAACAUAUCUUAGAAGCACCAUCUUGCUGUUCUUUUCAAAUCCUCUGCAUAUUGCAUCAUCACUGCUGUCACUUUGUGAGCACGUACUUUCCCUAUGAGGAAGGAGAAAGUGUUUUUUCCUACUACAGUCCAGGGUGAAACAAAUUUCCUUGUUUCUCUGCUGGUUGGUGAUUAUUAUUUUUCCUUAUCCAAAUUCCAUCUGAGGAUAUAGUCCUUGGACGCCCUUAACUUUCUGUGGGAAUCUGUGUCAACUCUCUACCAUAGGUGUUCCAGGCCUUGUCUCAGACCACAGGCAAGUGCAAAAGCUCAGCUCCCAGAUAACCAAGGCUGACACUUGUCCCUAAGGAAGCUGCAGGGUCAGCUUGGUUUCAGUUCUCUUUUCUUUUCUUGUAUCUGGGUAUUUCAAUUUAUUUUCUUGUGGAUUCAGCUAUUUAGACAAAGGUUUGCUUUAUUUUGUCCAGCAGCAAUUUCUAAGUGCUUGUGGUCAAAAGAUUUUCAAGUUUUCCAGUCAGCCAAAAUAGCAGAACCAGAAAAUAUUCUUUACAUGUGAAGAGUUCAUAUAAAUUAGUAAACUACCAAGCUUACAAGUGGCAAAGGUCAUAAAUACAGAAUUUUUAAAAGCAGAAAUACAAAUGUUCCAUAAACAUUUGGAAAGGCCAAGAAAUACAAUUAAAACAAUAAGACAAGACACAAUUGUGGCCUAUCAAAGUCAUGGAUAUUUACAAAAAGAAAGAACAAGAAUUGUGUCAAUGGCACGGUGAAUUGAGUAUUGUAACCCAUUCAGUGAAAACAUAAAUGGGUUAUUUGAAAAUAAUUUGCUUUAAGAGCCUUAAAAAAUUUAUUUCCCCUGAGCUAGUAUUCAUACUUCUAGAAAUCUACACUAAGGAAAUAAUCUAAAAUGCAGAUAAUUGGUAAAUUUCAUAUUCAGAAAGAAACAUGUUAUUUUUAAAAAAUGUAUAUCACCUUCCUUGAAAUCAGGGAUAUUUUAUUUACUGCAGUCUUCAAAACCCCAGGCAUAGACAAAGAUUGCAGAGGUUGUAUAAAGGCUUAAGACACAAACACUAUUAGGGAACAGUCAUAGAGUAUCUUAUGGAAACACCUGCUGAGUGGUUACGGCCACUCUGCCUAGCCCAAGCUGAGGUAUAGCUUGGAAGAACAACUGGAGUGGAAACAAAUAUCAGAAAAACACGUACAGCUAUCGUUGACCUUUCCUACGGUAAGCGUUUUCUCAUCCUCCUAGAGUGAAUGUGGGACUCUGUGGUGUAUUCUCCUCGGAAGUCUGCUUUCUUCUGUCAUAGCACUGGCUACACUGCCUUGACUUCCCAAAGGUUGGGAGCUCCUUUGGGUCUGUGACUGUGUGCCCUUUACCUCUAUAUUCCAGUAUUAUAUAGGGCAAACCAAAGGUACUCAAUAAAUGUCUGUAGAAUGAACGAAUGAGACUCAUGGGUAACUGCUCAUCCUAUAAAUCUUAGGUAAGGUGGUUUGCAGGAGGCCUUGUGCAGCAAUAAAUGCAGGAGUCCACGCAUUAGGAUUCCUUUGGCGGCAACUUCCUCAGCUUCCAACACUGACGGAAAAUGGUUAGAGGCCUAGGUGCAUGUGGGUCAGGAGCCUUGCUGACAGAUCCAAAGCUGACAGUCUGGAGCAUGUGUGCAUGCUGCCUUUGGACUCUGGGACAUGUCACUGAUAUUCUCCAGGAAACUUGUGAAACCUCCUGUUUAUAAAGGUUUCUCCAUCUGUUAUACUUUCUGUACUUUCCCUUCUGCAGCUCUUGGUAACACGGAUGUUUGCAUUCCACAGGGAUUCCUGUUGCUAAAAGGUCUGUUUUCUCCUGCUAGCCACCCUCAUCAGCCAGAGUUCAAACCCUGACAGUGCCCAUGGAGAGAUCUGGUCCAAGGCACCAACCUCUUCCUGCUGGACUGAGAAAGAGCCUCCUACUGUGUCUCUCUUUACCUCAGCUUUUGCACACCUCCAAUAUAUUGUCCACUGAAGUCAGAAUAAUCUAAAAAUAAAGGCUGAUUACCUCAUGUGGUA